AGAGUUUGAUCCUGGCUCAGAUUGAACGCUGGCGGCAUGCUUUACACAUGCAAGUCGAACGGCAGCACGGGGGCAACCCUGGUGGCGAGUGGCGAACGGGUGAGUAAUACAUCGGAACGUAUCCUUGAGUGGGGGAUAUCGCAGCGAAAGUUGUGCUAAUACCGCAUGAGCUCUGAGGAGGAAAGUGGGGGACCGUAAGGCCUCACGCUGAAGGGGCGGCCGAUGUCCAAUUAGCUAGUUGGUGAGGUAAAGGCUCACCAAGGCUUCGAUCGGUAACUGGUCUGAAAGGAUGAUCAGCCACACUGGGACUGAGACACGGCCCAGACUCCUACGGGAGGCAGCAGUGGGGAAUUUUGGACAAUGGGGGCAACCCUGAUCCAGCCAUGCCGCGUGAGUGAAGAAGGCCUUCGGGUUGUAAAGCUCUUUCGUGAGGGAAGAAACGGCCAUAGUGAAUAGCUGUGGUUACUGACGGUACCUCAAGAAGAAGCACCGGCUAACUACGUGCCAGCAGCCGCGGU
Molecule: ribosomal RNA, 518 nt
Filed under: uncultured bacterium
Lineage: Bacteria
Description: bacterial SSU rRNA
Rfam family: Bacterial small subunit ribosomal RNA
Source: RNAcentral